This 212-nucleotide unclassified non-coding RNA is filed under the name plant metagenome. RNAcentral's name for it is "partial contains small subunit ribosomal RNA and internal transcribed spacer 1". The stretch from base 1 to 46 matches the Rfam family "Eukaryotic small subunit ribosomal RNA", at positions 1786 to 1831 of the family's 1831-position model. The record is from RNAcentral.
AAGUCGUAACAAGGUCUCCGUAGGUGAACCUGCGGAGGGAUCAUUACCCGAGUGUGGGGCCCUCCGUGCCCCAACCCUCCCCAACCCUUUGUCGAUUCAUAUCUGUUGCCUCGGGGGGGCGACCCGGGACUCGCGCCGGGAGUCCCCCCAGAGGUCCAACCCAAAUUACACCUGCGUCUUUGCGUCGAGUAUUGAAAAACAAUCAAUCAAAA